CACCUUUUUCUUCUCAACAAUCAAAGAUCAAAUUGCCACAAAGACAGUUACUAGGAAGUUGAGGCGAAGGAUAUGGAACCUAAUUAGUACAUUUGAUUGACUGAAAGACUUCUAGAAUACCCAUACAUGUCCAGUGGCUUCUCAUCUCAGAGGGAAACCAGUGUUGGAUUAGGGAACUAGGGAAACGGAUUGCCUUUUGGAGCUGCAAGAGGACUGUUAAACCUUCAUGAGCAGUGUGACCUGAAAGUUAUCCACAGGGAUGUGAAGGCAUCAAAUGUACUUGAUGACUACUGUGAAGCCGUAGUCGGAGAUUUUGAUUUGGCAAAGCUUUUGGAUCACCAAGAUUCACAUGUCACCACUGCAGU
Molecule: long non-coding RNA, 365 nt
Organism: Rosa rugosa (rugosa rose)
Lineage: Eukaryota; Viridiplantae; Streptophyta; Magnoliopsida; Rosales; Rosaceae
Exons: 4
Source: RefSeq, a predicted model, not a curated record